UGAGUAGCACAGAUGAUCGCACCUAUAAAUGCCGAAAGGCUUUAGGUGAGGAAAGUCCGAGCUUCAUAGGGCAGGAUGCCGGAUAACGUCCGGUGGAGGCGACUCCAAGGCUAGUGCAACAGAAAUAUACCACACUGUUUAUGCAGUGCCAGGGUGGAAAGGUGAGGUAAGAGCUUACCGCACCUUUGGUAACAAAGGUGGCAGAUGUAAACCCCAUCCGAAGCAAGACCGAACAGAAAGCUAUGUGGCUGCCCGUCACGCUUUCGGGUAGGCCGCUUGAGUCUGGUGGCAACACCAGAACCAGAUAGAUGAUCAUCGAAUACAGAACUCGGCUUAUAGUGCUGCUCAUUUA
Molecule: RNase P RNA, 352 nt
Filed under: Lachnospiraceae bacterium
Lineage: Bacteria; Bacillati; Bacillota; Clostridia; Lachnospirales; Lachnospiraceae
Description: RNase P RNA component class A
Rfam family: Bacterial RNase P class A
About the family: Ribonuclease P (RNase P) is a ubiquitous endoribonuclease, found in archaea, bacteria and eukarya as well as chloroplasts and mitochondria. Its best characterised activity is the generation of mature 5'-ends of tRNAs by cleaving the 5'-leader elements of precursor-tRNAs.
Source: RNAcentral